RNAcentral lists this ribosomal RNA (528 nucleotides) under Bifidobacterium pseudocatenulatum. RNAcentral describes it as "bacterial SSU rRNA". It matches the Rfam family "Bacterial small subunit ribosomal RNA", at positions 166 to 706 of the family's 1533-position model. Lineage: Bacteria; Bacillati; Actinomycetota; Actinomycetes; Bifidobacteriales; Bifidobacteriaceae. The record is from RNAcentral.
AUGCCGGAUGCUCCGACUCCUCGCAUGGGGUGUCGGGAAAGGUUUCAUCGGUAUGGGAUGGGGUCGCGUCCUAUCAGGUAGUCGGCGGGGUAACGGCCCACCGAGCCUACGACGGGUAGCCGGCCUGAGAGGGCGACCGGCCACAUUGGGACUGAGAUACGGCCCAGACUCCUACGGGAGGCAGCAGUGGGGAAUAUUGCACAAUGGGCGCAAGCCUGAUGCAGCGACGCCGCGUGCGGGAUGACGGCCUUCGGGUUGUAAACCGCUUUUGAUCGGGAGCAAGCCUUCGGGUGAGUGUACCUUUCGAAUAAGCACCGGCUAACUACGUGCCAGCAGCCGCGGUAAUACGUAGGGUGCAAGCGUUAUCCGGAAUUAUUGGGCGUAAAGGGCUCGUAGGCGGUUCGUCGCGUCCGGUGUGAAAGUCCAUCGCUUAACGGUGGAUCUGCGCCGGGUACGGGCGGGCUGGAGUGCGGUAGGGGAGACUGGAAUUCCCGGUGUAACGGUGGAAUGUGUAGAUAUCGGAAAAAA